AAUGGGCGAAAGCCUGACGCAGCGACGCCGCGUGAGUGAUGAAGGCCUUCGGGUUGUAAAGCUCUGUGGGGAGAGACGAAUAAGUGCAGCCUAAUACGCUGCAUGAUGACGGUAUCUCCUUAGCAAGCACCGGCUAACUCUGUGCCAGCAGCCGCGGUAAGACAGAGGGUGCAAACGUUGUUCGGAAUUACUGGGCGUAAAGCGAGUGUAGGCGGUUUCCUAAGUCAGGUGUGAAAGCCCCGGGCUCAACCCGGGAAGUGCACUUGAAACUGGGAGGCUAGAGUAUCGGAGAGGUUGGUGGAAUUCUCGGUGUAGAGGUGAAAUUCGUAGAUAUCGAGAGGAACACCGGUGGCGAAGGCGGCCAACUGGACGAAUACUGACGCUGAGACUCGAAAGCGUGGGGAGCAAA
This 409-nucleotide ribosomal RNA is filed under the name uncultured bacterium. RNAcentral describes it as "bacterial SSU rRNA". It matches the Rfam family "Bacterial small subunit ribosomal RNA", at positions 370 to 772 of the family's 1533-position model. The record is from RNAcentral.